This is a small nucleolar RNA of Tachyglossus aculeatus (Australian echidna), 138 nucleotides long. The record is from RefSeq and is a predicted model, not a curated record. Lineage: Eukaryota; Metazoa; Chordata; Mammalia; Monotremata; Tachyglossidae.
CCCCUCUCAGGACUGCAUCUGGAGAGUUUCCUGUACUCUACCAGUUUCAGCUAUAGGAGGGAGAGUUAAGUAGAGGCAUACCCAUUCCAUUCCUACCUCGGGCAAUGGUUAGCAAGUGGAAGGCAAUCUGCUACAAGU